Macrobrachium nipponense is the source of this 831-nucleotide long non-coding RNA. RefSeq lists it as uncharacterized. NCBI's taxonomy places the organism in Eukaryota, Metazoa, Arthropoda, Malacostraca, Decapoda, Palaemonidae. The transcript is spliced from 2 exons. The record is from RefSeq and is a predicted model, not a curated record.
UCAUUGUAAUCAUCAUAGUUUCAUAGUCACUGUCUUCGUACUAACUCAAGACCUUUGUACUUUUCCGCCGACCAGAGUUCAUAAGCAAGGACAAACUCCCUGUUGUUGUAAAACCAAAAUACAUUUUUUAUUAUCUAAAGUCUUACGUCCGCGUUAAACCUCGACGACUUCGAAACUGAACCCUUCCAGGACUGGGAGACUGCAAUAAAGGUUUAUGUAACGCUCUGGGAGUGUUCCAUAGCGGUUACAUGGAAGACACAUCGUUACAAAGGCGCAAAAAAUAUCCUACUUGGCAACAGCGUGGUUGAUGUGAUGCGUAUCCUAUAUAAAUGGGUUCUACGGUUGCAACUCAGUACUGUAGUCUUCUUGCUGAGAAGUAACGUUAAAGUUUGUAGGAUGGGUCGCGUCACCUUGCUCGUAGGAAUCCUGGUCGUGUGCUUCGUCGCCGUAGCCACCGGCCAGUUCCUCGGAGGAGGAUUCAACACUCAAUACUUCCCAGGCUACGUACCCGGUUACAACUUCCACCAGCAGUUCCCUGGACACGGCUUCGGCGGCUGCCGGUACUGGUGCAGGAGCUACAGCCCUUAUUCCUACCAACAGUACUACUGUUGCCAGACACCAAACCAGGCAUUCUUCGGAUAAGAACUGACGAUGAUGGCUUUCCUUUGUGAUACGUUUUGAGGGGACCAUUUAACCAGGGACAAAUACAACGAAAUAAUAGUUUUCAUCACUACACCACUUGAAUUAAUGUUACUUUUUGUUAUUUUUCACGUGUUUUUGGAUUGCGUCAAAUUGACGAUGAAUUUUUCUUACAAUAAACAUUAUGGGUAA